RNAcentral lists this ribosomal RNA (208 nucleotides) under uncultured bacterium. RNAcentral's name for it is "partial 16S ribosomal RNA". It matches the Rfam family "Bacterial small subunit ribosomal RNA", at positions 568 to 774 of the family's 1533-position model. The record is from RNAcentral.
CAGGUAGGUGGUCUGUUAAGUCUUCUGUGAAAACCCGGGGCUCAACCCCGCGGAAUGCAGGUGAAACUGGCAGACUUGAGACCGGUAGAGGCUAGCGGAAUUCCUGGUGUAGCGGUGGAAUGCGUAGAUAUCAGGAAGAACACCUGUGGCGAAGGCGGCUAGCUGGGCCGGUUCUGACACUAAACUGCGAAAGCGUGGGGAGCAAACA